RNAcentral lists this long non-coding RNA (485 nucleotides) under Jatropha curcas. Its description in RNAcentral is "long non-coding RNA (JCUR_LNC002441)". The record is from RNAcentral. Lineage: Eukaryota; Viridiplantae; Streptophyta; Magnoliopsida; Malpighiales; Euphorbiaceae.
UGCCACUUGUCAUUUCUGAUUCAGUGGAGAGCGUUGAGAAAACAUCUGGCGCCAUCAAGGUGCUUAAGGAGAUUGGAGCUUUUCCUGACGCUGAAAAGGCUAAGGAUAGUCAUGCGAUCCGGCCUGGUAAAGGUAAAAUGAGGAACCGGCGGUACAUUUCCCGCAAGGGUCCCCUGAUUGUCUAUGGGACCGAGGGAGCCAAGCUUGUCAAGGCUUUUAGGAACAUUCCAGGAGUUGAGGUGGCGAAUGUAGACCGCUUAAAUCUGUUGAAGUUGGCACCUGGUGGCCAUCUUGGGCGUUUUGUUAUUUGGACCAAGUCUGCUUUCGAGAAGCUGGACUCGAUCUAUGGCUCUUUUGAGAAACCCUCAGAUAAGAAGAAGGGUUAUGUGCUCCCCAGAUCUAAGAUGGUUAAUGCUGAUCUGGCUAGAAUCAUCAACUCUGAUGAGGUGCAGUCAACGGUGAAGCCUAUCAAAGAAGGGGUUAAG